UACGGAGGGUGCGAGCGGUACUCGGAAUUACUGGGCGUAAAGCGCGUGUAGGUGGUCUUGUAAGUCUGGUGUGAAAUCCCGGGGCUCAACUCCGGAAGUGCAUUGGAUACUGUAAGACUAGAGUGCAGGAGAGGAUGGCGGAAUUCCAGGUGUAGAGGUGAAAUUCGUAGAUAUCUGGAGGAACAUCGGAGGCGAAGGCGGCCAUCUGGACUGCAACUGACACUGAGACGCGAAAGCGUGGGGAGCAAACAGG
This 253-nucleotide ribosomal RNA is filed under the name uncultured bacterium. Its description in RNAcentral is "partial 16S ribosomal RNA". It matches the Rfam family "Bacterial small subunit ribosomal RNA", at positions 524 to 776 of the family's 1533-position model. The record is from RNAcentral.